Oxyura jamaicensis (ruddy duck) is the source of this 1147-nucleotide long non-coding RNA. RefSeq lists it as uncharacterized. NCBI's taxonomy places the organism in Eukaryota, Metazoa, Chordata, Aves, Anseriformes, Anatidae. The record is from RefSeq and is a predicted model, not a curated record. The transcript has 3 exons.
AAGGAGACAGUGUUAGCUUGCCUAUGCUUUUUCCAAGAUUCAUAUAGCCUUUUAAGAGAGAGAAGAAGCAGCCCAACAGUUGUGUGGAUACACAAUAUGGCUAUAAUAAGUCUACUAUAUGAAAGCAGAAGGAUUAAUUCAAGAAGGAAUGGAAUGAAGUCACACAGGAUGGAAGAAUAGCGAGUUUGAUUUGUUCAUAUCUGAAAUUCAAAGCAGGCUUGGGAGAAAAUGAAUAAAGCAGAGAUCACUGAACUUAAGGUGAACCCAAACAAAUUAGAUUCAUAUGGCUCUAAGAGUCAGCUGAUGAAAUCUUUAUAUAUGUGAGUUAUCUUUUAAAUAUUUUCUUAUGAAACAUCUGUAACUGAAGAAACUGAGGUGUCAAAUAUAGAAAGAGGUAAAAGCCUGAAAGAGAAAAAGAUAAAUGUCAAAUUGCCAAUUACUGGCAUAUUCAGUAGCAUGGUGAUUAGAAAUACAUGAAGCAACUUCCAGGACAGCUGUCCUGCUAACACGGACAUUCCUUCAUCUGAGAUGUAUGACCAUUCUUUUAGUCCAAAAUAUCAUUCUGGAUCUGAAUUUAAAUUUCCCAAUGGAAAGUCAUUCACAGCUGGACAGUUUCACAAAGAUAUUUGAUUUUUGACAUGUCUCCAAAAACGACAUGAACAUUUCCUGAGCAGAUUUACCAACCUGGAUUAAAAAAGAACUGACCUGGAGCAUGGGCUUAUUUCCCCUCAGUGAUCUCUGAGUGUUGAUACUGGCAAAUUAAAUUGACAUUUAAUGAUCCAUCACAAGGUCUUUCAGUCUUCUGACAUUUAUUAUAUGUGGAUAGAAGAAAUUGUUAUUGAUUACUGCUUGGUCAAUUAGAAGGCAGUAGGAUCCUGAUAACUUAGGGUUUUUGACUUGUGCUGAUCUCUGUGCUAGGCUGGUUGACAUUUGGGAACACAGCUAGUGAGAAAUGACUGCAAUGCAAUUGUGCAAGGGAUUUUACAUAAUGGUCUUCCAACCAUAUGGGGCCCUGGUGAUAGGAAGAUGCUGACAAGCUGGGAAAGACAACUGGAAUAUGUUUCUUGACUCUUGGAUUAUUUUUGAUAAUAUAUUAUGGAAGUUUAAAGGGAAAGUACAGACUGUAUUUUUGUUUGUGCAGUAAGAA